GCCAGCCGUGGUGGUGCACGCCUGUAAUCCCAGCAACUUGGGAGGCUGAGGCAGGAGGAUCACAAGUUCAAUUCCAGCCUCAGCAAAAAGGGAGGUGCUAAGAACUCAGCGAGACCCUGUCUCAA
This 125-nucleotide small RNA is filed under the name Marmota monax (woodchuck). Lineage: Eukaryota; Metazoa; Chordata; Mammalia; Rodentia; Sciuridae. The record is from RNAcentral.